Molecule: ribosomal RNA, 508 nt
Filed under: Botrytis cinerea
Lineage: Eukaryota; Fungi; Ascomycota; Leotiomycetes; Helotiales; Sclerotiniaceae
Description: eukaryotic LSU rRNA
Rfam family: 5.8S ribosomal RNA (bases 140-293)
Source: RNAcentral
GGCCCGGAAAGGAGAAACCUCCCACCCUUGUGUAUUAUUACUUUGUUGCUUUGGCGAGCUGCCUUCGGGCCUUGUAUGCUCGCCAGAGAAUACCAAAACUCUUUUUAUUAAUGUCGUCUGAGUACUAUAUAAUAGUUAAAACUUUCAACAACGGAUCUCUUGGUUCUGGCAUCGAUGAAGAACGCAGCGAAAUGCGAUAAGUAAUGUGAAUUGCAGAAUUCAGUGAAUCAUCGAAUCUUUGAACGCACAUUGCGCCCCUUGGUAUUCCGGGGGGCAUGCCUGUUCGAGCGUCAUUUCAACCCUCAAGCUUAGCUUGGUAUUGAGUCUAUGUCAGUAAUGGCAGGCUCUAAAAUCAGUGGCGGCGCCGCUGGGUCCUGAACGUAGUAAUAUCUCUCGUUACAGGUUCUCGGUGUGCUUCUGCCAAAACCCAAAUUUUUCUAUGGUUGACCUCGGAUCAGGUAGGGAUACCCGCUGAACUUAAGCAUAUCAUAACCGGGGAGGAAAGAUC